AUUUAAAGGCAACGAAAGUUAUUCUUGAAGAAAACAAGAUUACAAAGAGAGUUUGUGUUGUCAGACAAACUCAGAGGCGGCCCCCGUGGGAGACGGAUCACUGUCGGAUCCGCAUAUUCGCUGGUCGACUGAGGAUGGCAUCGAGCAGGGUAUGAAACCGAGACCGAGAGAUAAUCAGUUUUGCGCGCUAACCGCACGACCAGGCAUUGCUCUUAAUCUAAUGACAAACUGGUUACAAACUAAUAGCCUACUAUUGAUAAUAUAUCUACACAUUACGGAAUGACAACUACCGGAUAUGU
Non-coding RNA from Biomphalaria pfeifferi, 299 nucleotides. The record is from the annotation of a GenBank genome assembly. Lineage: Eukaryota; Metazoa; Mollusca; Gastropoda; Planorbidae.